UACAGGGGGUGCAACCGUUGCUCGGAAUCAUUGGGCGUAAAGCGCACGUAGGCGGUUCGUUAUGUCGGAUGUGAAAGCCCUUGGCUUAACCGAGGAAGUGCAUCCGAAACUGGCGAGCUAGAGUACGAAAGAGGAUCGCGGAAUUCCCGGUGUAGAGGUGAAAUUCGUAGAUAUCGGGAAGAACACCGAUGGCGAAGGCAGUUCUCUGGGCCGUAACUGACGCUGAGGAGCGAAAGCGUGGGGAGCGAACAGG
This 253-nucleotide ribosomal RNA is filed under the name uncultured bacterium. RNAcentral's name for it is "partial 16S ribosomal RNA". It matches the Rfam family "Bacterial small subunit ribosomal RNA", at positions 524 to 776 of the family's 1533-position model. The record is from RNAcentral.